Long non-coding RNA from Eubalaena glacialis (North Atlantic right whale), 386 nucleotides. RefSeq lists it as uncharacterized. The transcript has 3 exons. NCBI's taxonomy places the organism in Eukaryota, Metazoa, Chordata, Mammalia, Artiodactyla, Balaenidae. The record is from RefSeq and is a predicted model, not a curated record.
UUCUCGGGCUCCUUGUGACUUUCGGUCGAACCUGUUUGCAGAUGCAUCAGCCUGCGAGGGCCCCUCUUUGGCCCCCUGGCACCAUCAUCUCCUGGCUCUGUGGAGCUGCAUUCAGGGGGCAGCCCGCCUCUUCCAUGCCCCGCAACCUCAGAAGCCUUCUUGAAGCUCCCCAAGGCAGAGUCAGCAUCCAGUGUCCUGGGGAUCUCUGGGGUGCAGCUCCCUCUCCUCUGUAGGGAAGAGAUGAAGAGAUCUAAAUUCAGAGACAUCAAGGAUCUGGUCUAAGGUCAUAUGGCUCAGAAGAAGCAAGGAUAAAAACCCAGUCAUAGAAUAUGGAGCACUCACCCCAUGGUACAACUGGUCCAGGACUGAUCAAUCUUCAUGUGAGA